Molecule: long non-coding RNA, 357 nt
Filed under: Rattus norvegicus (Norway rat)
Lineage: Eukaryota; Metazoa; Chordata; Mammalia; Rodentia; Muridae
Description: long non-coding RNA NONRATT026855
Source: RNAcentral
UGCCGUUGUACCACGUGGGGUUCUGAGGUGAAUGAAUGGAGAGCAGCAGACAAGGUAGGGUCAAACGAAGCUGCUGAAUGACCUGUGUGGCUCUAUGUCAGUCUCUGCAGUCUAUGGACUGGGGCUCACGGCGCACCACUGCACAGCACAGGGCAGUUACCGCCCCGUCUUUAUGUGUCCUUGCUGUCACCACCAGCCCCGUCCCGUACACGAUAAGCCUGUUGGGACUAAGUUUCUUCCUCUCUUGCAGCAUGACCCGAGGAGUCCAGGAAGCAGACCAACACAGAGGCUAGAGGCUCUACCUGCCCAUCACAGAUCAGGCCCCUUCAUGUUCUACUGUCUCCCAGGAGUACAAAA